RNAcentral lists this long non-coding RNA (8591 nucleotides) under Amborella trichopoda. Its description in RNAcentral is "long non-coding RNA (ATRI_LNC004660)". Lineage: Eukaryota; Viridiplantae; Streptophyta; Magnoliopsida; Amborellales; Amborellaceae. The record is from RNAcentral.
CCUUCAAGCGGUUGCAAUCUCUAAUUUCGCAAAAGCUCGGCAUGUCUCCUAACCAGAUCUCCACCUCUCUGGUUUGCCGAAAGAGCAACCAAAAGCGCCUGAAAAUCCCAAUUACUGAGACCACAAGCUUCUCUCAAAUCCUAAUCCAUAAUUCGAAUCUCGAUUCCUUCUUUCUAGUGACAAUCAAGAAGCCCAAAAGGGAUCGAAGGUCGAAGCCUCAAAGGAUCGAAGAGGGCGCUCUGCCAUCCAAAAUCUCACCGGAGAAGACCCUUUUACGCCGGAACCCAGACUCUGGAAAACCAAAUCCCGGCAAUGGGUUGCAAUUCACCGGCGGGUACCCCUCGCCGGAAAGUUAUUUCGCAAACGGAAAUUACGGCAUUGACGGGAGGGGCCUAUUUUCUACUGUUAAAGAGCGCACAUCGACAGUAUGCGAGCUUUGCAGAGAGAGCAAAGAGCGGCCGGUUCCCUUCCACUUGUGCGUGUACGAUGCAGUGACCGUCGGAUUUCGAGGUCCUUCCCCUGCCGGUCCGAUCGGACGGCCAAGGAAGGGCCACGUCGAGGCGGCCGCUUAGUCGUCGGUAAAUUGGGUUUUGGAGUCCCUGAACUUGGAUUUCGCCGACCUAUCGAAUUGGAGGAGUGCUUUUUUUUUCUUUUCUUUUUUUUAAUUUCAAUUAUACAUACAGAUACGUAUACGGUUGGAUACCAUGGCUUUUUUGGUGUGUCCUUCCACAGUGCGGCCGUAUACGAUGCGUAUACGGCUGGUAGACGGAGCGUCAGAUUGGGUUUGGAAUUUUGCGUGAGGCGUCAAACAAGCGACGCAUCUUUGACGCUGGAUUUUUGUGAGAGGCCCGGAACUCUCAUUUCAUUUUCUUUUCUUUUGUUUCAAAAAAAAAAAAGAAAUGAAACGGUGGUGGAGCUUUUGGUUGAUUUAUUUAUUUUAUUUUAUUUGGUGAUUUGACAUGAAUUUCUUAAUGUUCAAUUUGCCUCUUCUUUCUCUUUUUCUCAUUAAUUCUGACGGAGUCAGAAAUGCGAUGAGAGUUGUUUGCAUACUGUAGAAGUGUGGAUUUUUAUUUGUGAGGAAUUGAGAAUUGUUUGUUUCUUAUUUUCAUUUAUUUUUUAAAGGUAAGAAAUUGGGGAUUUUUUUUUGUUGUCUUUUUGAAAUAUUUGAUUCAUAGCCAAACCCAAUUUUAGUAAACGCUAUUUUAGUUGAUUUAGACCCAAAUCGAUCCAUCUUAACCCUAAAAAAAAUCAUUUUUUUUGAUAGAAGUGGAAUGAAAACAGAUCUUUUCAUGAAGAAAGGCCAUGUCCCGGCCUCAAAUUAUAUUGAAUUUGAUUUAAAACAUUGGUUUUAGAGGCCUCUAUAAAGAUCGCUAUCAUUUUUUCGCAAAGUCUACUCAAAUUUUCGGAACAUUCUUCUUGUACUGAUCCGUACCGAAUCUAUUUUGCAUUACUUCGAUCCCUAUCGAUUCUGUUAGUUCCUAAAAGUCUCAGGUCUUUUGGGAGAAGUCGUAUUUAAUGGAACAAAGUCUCGUUUUGAAAUUUUAGAGUUCUCCAAAUGGUACAUAUCUCAUAAGAAUGUGAACACUAGAAAAUGAAAUGUCUUAGAUGCAAGCAUCUGAACACUAGAAAAUGGAAUGUCUUAGAUGAUAUCUUACAUUGUUUUUGGGGAAAAUCAAUUUAUAGACAUUUUUUUUUGGGGGAAAAUCAAUUUAUAUACAUUGUUUUGAGGAUUUGAAAUUCUCAUUUUUUUUUCUUAUUUAUAUAAGUUAGGGAGGGUAUAAGUAAUUGGAUGGAGUUUUUAUGAGGUCUAACCUUUAUGACAACAAAUUAAAGCAUACCUCGAGUCUUCGGUCAAGACGCAUUUUGGACUGGAAAUAUCUCAGUGGGCUCUAAAUCAAUUUUCAGGUCCGAUUAUGAAAUUCGAAGCUCAAAAAAUAGUAUAGAUAAUGCAGGAAAGUAUAGGAUGAGAUUUUUAUCUUUGGUAUAAGGUGAUCGCAUUAUUUUUGACGAUGGGAAAUUGGGUGACUGCAAUAAUCCUAUUGAUUAUAUCAUUUUUUUUUUGAACUUUGUGAUAUAUCCAAGCUAUCAAACUUCACAUAAGAAUGGUUGUAAAUAAUUGUAAUGAAUUUGUAUCAAAGAUAAAUGAGAUAAUGAUCUCAUUGUAUACAAUCUCAUAAUGCAUGUACAUGAAAUAUUUAUGUGGAUAUUUAUUUUUUUUAAAAAAAAGAUAAAGAUGGUUCAAAUAAUGUAUUAUAUAUAUUAUAUAUUAUUUUUAAGGUCGGAAGUCUUCAUUUUUUUUUUAACAAUUAUAAGGGUCAAGGCUAUGAUGAUUGAUUUGAAGGUUUUCUUCCAAACUUAUAAUUUAUGUGAGGCUUUACUUGCAACCUUACUGAAAUAUUUUCUAAUGAAUUUGAGGGUUUCCCGACUAGGGGUGGCAACAGGUUCGGUAGGGUUAGGUUCAAGGUCCGGUUGGACUUGGAUUUGAAUAGUAUUAGGGUCUAGUUUUGAACCCGGACUCGGGUCCAAAAAUUGGACCCAUCCCAUACUCAUCAGGUCUUGGAUCUACCUCAUCGUGUCUCAAGUCCGGUUGGAUCCAUUGCCAUUUUCUAUUUUUUUUGCCUUUUUUUUAGCCAUUAUAUACUCAUGUUAUUAGCAAUAGGGUUACAAUCACCUUCAAGUAAAUUUGAAGGCCUUUGAUUUAUCUGAUUUGUCAUUUAAUAGUUAAAGAAGAUUAUGAGUUUUUAUUGUAUAAGAUCUUUAAUACAUCCAAACGAAUAGGGUUUAAAGUAAAGUAAUUUUAUUUCUAACGGUUUACGGGUACGGAUCGGGUAUGGGCAGGGUCCAGCUGGACCCGGACCCCAAUGGUGUUUGACCUAGACUUGACUCACCGGGGCCAAAUACUGAACCCAUACUGAAAUCCGUGUUGGGUACACCCGACGGGUCUCGAGUUGGGUCCAGGUCCAUUGCCACCCCUAUUCCUGACAACGAUGCUUCAAAUUAAGAUGCGAGGUACUUUUUUUUUUUUAAUACCUAAGUCAUGAGUCCUAUUUUAACCUUUCCAAAUCAAUUUCCUUGUCAAUCCAAUGCCCCUAGCUCAAAGGGGGUAAAAUAUGAAAAAUAUAAGAAACAAUAAAGGUUAUAAUUGCUCUGAUUCCAGGUGUGAUAUAUUACUUUUUCAAGACAAUUUUGUCCCUUACUGAUAAGAAUUGAUGUGCAUCUAACUUUCUACUAGUGGGAGCAGAGGAAUGGAGAAACUAUCUCGCUAAUACUUACCUUAGGGAUCCGAAACCUAAAGGUUCGGGCUUGGAGCAUGCUGCCCUUCUAGUGCCACGACCUCCUCUUUUGAUGCCCUUUGCUUGCUGAAAAUCGGUAGAUGUGAGGUUUUUUCAAAUGGAUCUAGAGUUCUUAAGGCUAAAAGAAGGGCUAUAGAUUUUUAGAUAAGGUUUUACCUAAGAUUUUCAAAGACGAUGAAUUGAUUUUUCUUAACUUUCUAAGGGUUUUGAGGUCUCCGAUUUUUAAAUCUAAUUUUCGGAUAUUUUGAUUUUUUUGGGGAUUUUUUUUUAAAUUUCCUAAUUUUAUAGGAAUUUUCUAAUAUAAUCUCCUAUUUUCUAGGAUUUAUUGGGAAUUUUCCUAAUUUUCAAUUUCAUAGGGAUCUCAAUCUAUUUUCUAUAAUUUUUAUUUUUUUUAUAGGGAUUUUAAUAUAUCUUGGAUGGAGUAUUUAUUGGAUGAAGUAGGGUUACACUGGAAAUUAGAUCGGUUCGAUCCAAGGGCACUAAAUUGAGUCAAAAUAGUCAAUUUCACAUAUUUUUGCUUUUGACCAAUUCAAAGGCUUCUAGAAAAUAACCCACCGCCCUGGGCCCAUCGGGCUGCACCUCAUACGGCAUGACGCAGCCUGCAUAUUGCGUGCCAUGUGGUGCGCACGGUCUAGGCAAAGGUAUUUUGGUAAUUUUAUCCCCUAAUUUUUUAAGGCUUUAGAUUUGAUUAUGUAGGUUUGAUUUGUAUGAUUUUUGGAUCGUUGGAAAGCUCUCAAGGUCUACUAUGAUAUGAGAUAGUUUUUGGGUGAUUUUUGGAUAAUUAAACUGGAUUUAGGUGUUCAAUGAUUUGCUAGGAUUUAUGUUGUCCUAUAAACUCAUAUUUAGGAUUUUUUUUUAGAAUUCCUUUAGUUUGAAUUUUGAAAGGGGUGUCUACAGUUGCCCCUCUUUGGCAUCUCUGGCAUUCACCUGGGGUACCAGGUGAAUGGCAAAGAAGUAAACACUUGGGAGAUGAUGAAAAUAUUUUUUUUGAGGUGUAAUCCUUUCGAAUGGCGAGUACCAUUUGGGGAGGCGGUACCUCGAUGGAUGCUUUUAACGUGUAAGACAUCGAACUGAAACUACACUAUUUUUGAGGCAGUAGCAUUGAAAGGUCUUCGACAAUCGAGAUCCGUAGUCAACAAGAAUUAUGCUAUCUUUGAGCCGAUGACUUCUUGUUGAGGUCACCCCAAGGCUACAUAGGAUUCCAGUAUAAUCAUUUUCGACUUCAGACCUUUUUCUUGAAGUCUGGUCUCCAAUUGAAUUGGACUCUGAUUUUAAGUAGAAAUGAAUGAUGAUGAUGAAUUCCUAACUAAUAGAACUUUGUUCGCCUUUGAUUCUAAUUCUUAAGAUCCAAAGGUUCAAGCUUGAAAUUUUGUGAACUUAUGAGUUGUUCUUUCUAAGCAGUUUGCAGUAUGGCAUCCAGGAUCUAGUGGUGGCAAAACAUAUCAGGUCCAAGCCUACUUGAAACUCAUUCUUUUUAAAAAAACAUUUUAUAAGGUUUUGAAGUUUGGUAGGAUUUUGAAACCAAUACAGAGUUUUGGACUACGAUUUAACCAAAGAAAUUAAGAUUUUUGAAAACUUCACGGGAACAUAUAGGGGAAAUGUUUGAAGAUAGGGAGAAAUUUUGGAAGAAAUUGAUGUUGGUUAGCUUUUUAAGUUCGUGCAACCAUUGAGCCCUCUGAACAGUUUUACAUCACGGAGUGAUGGGCGUAUCUUGUAACACAUUGAGGCAUUUGGCACAGAGAGCCCACUUCACACACAGCCCAUCUUCGCCCAGCUGAAAAGGGCUUGAAAAUUGCCAAAAAUCGAGACAAAGUGUCUUUUAGUCAUUUAAUCGCAUAUUUUGAGGGCACAGUCCAAGCAUUUUCAAAGUAAAAAUUUGUAAGAAUUCAAACACGAUUUUGUCAUAGAAAAACAACCAAUUUGCAGUUUUUUUGUUCUAUGAAAAUAUCACUUAACCAAGUGUUUUUGAUCCAUAGCAAAAGAUGUGAAAAAGGAAGAAGAGUUUUAUUGAUCAUACCUUCUCCUUGGCCUUAUUUUUUGAAAUAUAUUUGGCUCCCAAGUACCAUUGCGCCCCCCUCCAUCCAUUUUUGACUUUCCAAAGUUUUGAAAGAUGAUUUCCGAAAGGUUUGAAUUGAACUUUGGGAUUUGGGCCUCCUGGUGGUGAUGAAAUUGCGUGAGAGAGAGAGUGAUGGAGUAAAGCCCACCAAUGGGUUUUUAAGGGAACGAGAGAGAAGUCAUGCCAGUAGAUUUUUAAGGGAAAGAGAUGGGAGUUAAAAUGAGGGUCAUGAAAUUGUUAGAGAGAGAGUGAUAGAGAAAAGCCCACCGAUGGGUUUUUAAGGCAAAGAGAGAGAAAUUAAGAUGAGCAAAGAGAAGAGAUGAAGUUCAUCAACUCGAGCCACUCCUGUGCUAUAGGAAACACUCUCAAAACCACGGGCCGAUCAAAGGGUACCGUUGAGCUUGACGAGGUAUAUCCCCAUUAAGAAAAGCCUUGAGAGAUGUGAAAGCCAAGCUGUUGAGAAAGGGGAGAAAGGGGGAGGAGCAAGCUCCUUACCUUCCUCCUUGUAUGAGUUGUUUUACUCCUUGGGAGGCAUCUUGAUCAAAACCGGUAGAAGGUUGAAGAUGAAGAGUAAGGAGGUCGUCAGAAGAAGAGUUGAAAUAUUAAGAAAAGAAAGAAAGGAAUAGGACUUAUGUGAGGAAGAAUUUCGAUUUUCGAGACCCUAAUUAUAGAUUAAAGUCUAGUCCUGUAUGAAUUGGACUACAAACCUGAAUGGGAGCGGGUAAAAUCAAGAAGAUAAGCCAGAGAAAAAAAACGCCGCAAAACAGGUCAUCUGGAGCAUAAUGCCUUAAACACUGCAUAACCUGGCUUCUUUUUCGGAACAUGGCAGAAUCAGUUAAAUGCUGGUGAAUGUGGUGUUUAUUCGGGAUACUAACCAUAAAAAUGUUUGGUACCAUGGCCUCAUUCGCUUACCCUCUACAAAAAAAAAACUUUUUACCAGAAUUUUCCAAAACAGAACAUGUUGGAAUCAAGGAACCCCUUAGGGAAUUUUGGUAAAAAUGUAAUGGGAUAUUGGGACCCAAAAGUAUGUCAGUGUGAUGUGGAAGAUCAACGGUACAACAACAAUCGAAAUUGGGCACGGAUCGGUCCAAAAAUCAGGAGAACUCACCCCGAACUGAAUGGCCCAAAAUUGGACCACCUAUGGUCUAGACGCCACACACUGUGGCGUCUAAUCAAACUAGGCCCAAACGCCCACAUACUGUGGCAUCUAUCACAGAGAGCCCACUUCACAUAGUGGCCUUCAACCCAUGUCGCCUGGCCGAAAAAUGGCAAAAAAAUUGCCAAAAAUUGAGAGAAAGUGUCUCUUAGUCAUUUAAUCGAAUAUUUUGAGGGCGCACAAAGCAUUUUCAAAGUGAAAAUUUAUAAGAAUUCAAGCACGAUUUUGUCAUAGAAAAGCAACCAAUUCGAAGUUUUUUCGUUCUAUAAACAAUCUCUUCUCAGUUAAACAAGUGGAAUUAGCAAUUGGAAAGUGUGAAUACACAGCAAAAGAUGAGAAAAAUGGGAGGAGAAUUUUUUUGUCGUACCUUCUCCUUUGCCUUACUCUUUGAAAUAUGCUUCGGUCCCAAUUACGAUUGCGGCUCAUCUUCAUUAAUUUAAUUUUUUUACUUCCGAACGAUGAUUUUCGAAAGGUUUGGAAGUUAAGAUGAGGGAAGAGAAGGGAUGAAGGUCAUCAACUCGGGCCACUCCCAAGCAGUAGAAAACCACAGCCGAUCAAAGGGCAUCAUUGAGCUCGAAUGGGUGUUUCUCUAUUAAGUGAAAGGGCCUAAUUUGUGAAAGAAGUGGAGGAGCAAGCUCCUUAGCAUCCUCCUUGGAUGAGUUAUCUUGCUUCUUGGGAGGCAGCUUGAUAAAAACUAGUAAGUGGUUGAAGAUAAAGAGUAAGGAGGGUCUUGAGAAGAAAGAUUAUGAAAAGAUAGAAAUGAAUAAGAAGAAUUUCAGUUUGAGAGACCCUAAGUCGAGUCCUGUAGGAAUCGGACUCCUCCGGGAAAAUCAAGAAAAUAGGUCUGAGACAAAAAUGCCGCAGAGCAAGAGGCCUUAAAUUCCGCCCGCAUGUCAAUUUCGGAGUACGUCAAAAUGGUGGAUGUGGUGUUUAUUCGGGAUACUAACCGUAAAAAUGUCUAGCACCAUGACCUCUCAUUCGUUUACCCUCUGAAAAUAAAUGAAUAAAAGCUUACCAUAACAUUCCAAAAGCCCAUGGAAUGGAAAAGAUAAACUGUUGGAAUCAGAUAACCCAUAUUGGCAAAAAUAUAUUGGGAACCAAAAGUAAGACCCAGUGACAUAUUGUGAGAUGUGACACAACAACAGUCAAAAUUGGGCUUGGAUCAGUCCAAACAAACCUGAAUUGAAUGGCCCAAAAUUGGACCACCUAUAGUCUAGAUGCCAACCACCGUGGCGUCUAAUCAAACUAGGCCCAAUGGCAUACACAUUGGCCUUCGGCCCAUGUUCGCCCGGCCAAAAAUGGCCCCAAAAUUACCAAAAAUCGAGAGAAUAUAUUCUACUAGUCAUAUAAUCGAAUAUUUAGAAGGCACACUCCAAUGAUAUUCAAAGAGAACUCCAGCAAUUUUGUCAUAGAAAGGCAACCAAUUCGAAAUUUUUUCGUUCUAUCAAAAUGUCAGUUAAGAAAGUGGAAUUAAUAAUUGGAAAGUCUGAAUGUGAAAGUUUUUGACCUUCUCCUUGGCCUUACUCUUUGAAAUAUGCUUCGCCCCCAAAUACAGUUGCCACUACUCUCCAUCCAUUUUUUACUUCCCAAAGUUUCCAAGGAUGAUUUUCGAAAGGUUUAAGUUGAACUUUGGGAAUUGGGGCUCCCGGUAGUGAUGAAAUUGUUAGAGAAUGAUGCUGUAAAGCCCACUGUUGGGUUUUUAAGAGAGAGAAGUUAAACAAACUUUGAGAGAUGUAAAAAAGCAAACUCUCUGGAAAUAGCUUAAUUCAUGAGACAAGGGGAGGAGCAAGCUCGUUACUUUUCUCUUUUGAUGAGUUAUCUUGCUCCUUGGGAGGCAUCUUGAUCAAAAAAUAGUAACGAUUUAAGAUGAAGAGUAAGUAAAGGCCUUGAAGAAGGGUUGAAAGAUUAAGAACAUAAAGAAAGGAAUAAGACUUAUGUGAGUGAGGAAGAAUUUCGGUUUCAGAGACCUCGUUUUACAAAUUCAAAGUCGCAUUCUGUAGGAAAUUGAUUCCUAAUUUGAAUGAGAGCAAGAAAAAUUAAGAAUAUAUGUUGGAAACAAAAACGCCCCGCAUCUGGAGCAAGAGGC